This 482-nucleotide ribosomal RNA is filed under the name uncultured bacterium. RNAcentral's name for it is "partial 16S ribosomal RNA". It matches the Rfam family "Bacterial small subunit ribosomal RNA", at positions 28 to 507 of the family's 1533-position model. The record is from RNAcentral.
GACGAACGCUGGCGGCGUGCCUAACACAUGCAAGUCGAACGGAACUGUUUUGAAAGCUUUCUUCGGAAUGAAUUUGAUUUAGUUUAGUGGCGGACGGGUGAGUAACGCGUGAGUAACCUGCCUUCAAGAGGGGAAUAACAUUCUGAAAAGAAUGCUAAUACCGCAUGACAUAUCGGAACCACAUGGUUUUGAUAUCAAAGAUUUUAUCGCUUGAAGAUGGACUCGCGUCCGAUUAGUUAGUUGGUGAGGUAACGGCUCACCAAGACCGCGAUCGGUAGCCGGACUGAGAGGUUGAACGGCCACAUUGGGAUUGAGACACGGCCCAGACUCCUACGGGAGGCAGCAGUGGGGGAUAUUGCGCAAUGGGGGCAACCCUGACGCAGCAACGCCGCGUGAAGGAUGAAGGUUUUCGGAUUGUAAACUUCUUUUAUUAAGGACGAAAAAUGACGGUACUUAAUGAAUAAGCUCCGGCUAACUACGUG